Long non-coding RNA from Papaver somniferum (opium poppy), 690 nucleotides. RefSeq lists it as uncharacterized. Lineage: Eukaryota; Viridiplantae; Streptophyta; Magnoliopsida; Ranunculales; Papaveraceae. The record is from RefSeq and is a predicted model, not a curated record. The transcript is spliced from 3 exons.
UUCCCCUCCCUCAGGAAAAAAAAACCCUAACUCAAGUUGGGCCUCCCUCAGAAAAAAAAAAACCCUCACUCAAGAUUUGUUUAACCAGUGAUUUAACAAAGGAAUCAGUUUCAGUAUGAAGCAAAUCAGAAAUCCUACAUCUGAAGAAACAAAACCAAAUCUUGGAUUUUUAUGGCAAUGCAGGGAGCUGGACAAGAGAGGAAGAAACCGCACUGAAAGAAGGUGUCCAGAAGCACGGUAAAGGCAAUCUCAGCACUUUCUCAAAGAGCUUAAUAUGACUAUGGAGAUGUUCUAUGGACUUCCUAGACAGGUGCGGGACCAACUUGUAGAGACUCAGCGCAAUGCUGAGACCUUCUUUAAUAUGUUGAUUCAGAAAGAAAGGUUGCUCGUAGCUCUCUAUUUGAGACUAAUAGUGUCAGAUAAAAUCAACUUAGGGAUAGCUGGGAAGAUGGCAAUCCUGGUUCAUGGGGGUCAAGCCUGCAAUAUCAGCCUGGAACUCCUCCUGCACAAAUCUUACGAAAGCACCAACCAUAGGGGAUUUGGAGAGGCACUUUGAUGCAUAUGGGAAGAUCUUGAAUAUUUUUUUUAGUGUUAUUAGAUUACUAUCUUUUGUAAAUAGUGAUUAUAAUUGGAAAUCUAAUAUUGUUUUCAAAUACAUGGUUAUUAAAGUAUUACAGAUUUAAUUUUGUA